Molecule: long non-coding RNA, 1038 nt
Organism: Cyanistes caeruleus (blue tit)
Lineage: Eukaryota; Metazoa; Chordata; Aves; Passeriformes; Paridae
Source: RefSeq, a predicted model, not a curated record
ACAUUGGAAUGGGCUGCCCAGGGAGGUGGUGGAGUCACCGUCCCUGGAACUGUUUAAGGAAAGACUGGAUGUGGCACACAGUGCUCUGGUUUGGUCUGGUGGUGUUCGGUCAAACGUUGGACUUGGUGAUCCCAGAGGUCUUUUCCAACCUUACUGAUUCUGUGAGUCCGUGACUCACAGAACCUGCAGGACACAGCCCAGUCCGGUCUCAGAACUGACUCCAUUGGGAGCGUGAGGGAGGACUGGAGCCCUCCUGGCGCCGCUUCCAGCUCUUGGCGCUGUGACCCUACAGCUCUCACUCAGCGGCCCUGACGGCAGUCCCUGCACAACCCAGCAGAGCCCCUCACAUCUCCUCAGAGCCCCUCACAGCCCCCUCACAACCCCUCACAGUCCCUGCACAGUGCCCUCACAACCCAGCACAGCCCGGUCACAACCCCGCACGGCCCCUCACAACCCAGCACAGCCCCUCCAUCCCCUCAGAGCCCCUCACAACACUGCGCAGAGCCCUCACAACACCUCACAGCCCCUGCACAGCCCCCUCACAGCUCCUCACAACCCCUCACAGCUCCUCACAACCCCUCACAGCCCCCGCACGACCCCGGGGCCCCCGGGCCGAGGGAGCGGCCUCCGGAGCCGGCAGGGGGACCUCGCGCCUCAGCCCGCGGUGCCGUCGCCGCAGCCUCGGCUUUUAAGGAGUAAAAUUGAUGUGGAAUUGGAGUGAAAUUGAUGUGGAAGCCAAAGGGUCGCGGGAUGUUCAGGAGAGGUUGAGAAUUGCCAUCUACCAGGGAAUAGCUGUCUACAGUGCUAUUCCAUAAUGUGAGAGUUGGAAGCAUACCAGCACCUGACAGGCAGGACUGGGAAUUGGCCUGCACCCUCCUUACCUCUGAAUGAGAACUCUAACCACUAAGCAACUGUAAAAAUAGUCUCAAUCCAAUCGGCAGAGAGAGACAUCAUUCCUCUAAUGAUAUUUCCAAAGGAAUAAGCACAUGCAAUCCAAUUCUGUGCAGAGAUUCAUUCAAUAAAUAUGUUCUGAGACAA